Piliocolobus tephrosceles (Ugandan red Colobus) is the source of this 1892-nucleotide long non-coding RNA. RefSeq lists it as uncharacterized. The transcript is spliced from 3 exons. NCBI's taxonomy places the organism in Eukaryota, Metazoa, Chordata, Mammalia, Primates, Cercopithecidae. The record is from RefSeq and is a predicted model, not a curated record.
UGGCGUCUCAGCGUGCCCUUGCCCAGGAGGUGCAGGAUGCAGGAGAGGACGUCAGUGCUGCUGCAGGCAGACCCCCUACCAAGGCUGCUGACCAAACCCCUGGGAGGACAUGGGCCCUUCUGCCAAGCUUCCAGCACCUGGUGUGGGGGAGGAAGGGAGAAGCGGUAGGUUAGAGGCAGCUGACCCCUCCUUGCUUGAGCUUCCACUCCAACCACAGGCUGCUAGGACAGGAUGCCCCAAGGACACCAGGUGCAUCCCGACUUCACUCCUCACACUCCUAUAGGCUACAUAGUGAACCACGUGCUUCACCACACGUGGAUCUACCUUGUUCUGUAGACUGCUCCCCCAACCCCAGCAAAGAUCCAUCACCCACUGUGCCCACCCCUGCCUACCAGACAGACAAGCUGGUCAAUGUGCAGCCCCUCAUCCCCAUGGGCCUUGAGGAUUCGGACGAUGAGGCAGUUCAGAAGAUUCCGUCUCUUCUCCAAGUUCCGGCCCUCUUCACCCUCAGCUUGCAGCUUUAGGAGUUCCUGAUCCAGCCGCUGGAGCUGGUAGACGUGGAACUGGCGCUGCAGCUCCUUAGAGGUGCUCAGGCUCUUCAACAUCUGCUGGGGGAGGCGGUUGGGGAAGCAGGGACCAAUCUGCUCCAGCACGGCACCCUCCAGCCAGCUCGAGACCACGCCCAGGAGACGGUCCGCCAUGUAGUGCCUACAGUGCAUGCAGCCCGGGCCAAGCUUCAGUGUGGGCACCAGUGUGGCCCAGCCUCCCACUCCAAGGCUCCAGCCUGGCUCUAUCCCAGACUUCCAGGCCCAUGAGCUGGCUCUUCCACCAUCAUCCUGCCUCCCGCCAGCUCCCGCUCCCUAGGUCCACACUCACUGGUAAUAAUGCUCAAAGGUAGUAGCUAUCUCCAGGCCGGAGAAAAUCAGGACAGCUUGCAGGCACUGCUGCAGCUGUGCCAGCCUCUCCAUUUCCUGGGCUCCACCGAUCCGGCUGCCCUGGAUCUGCUGGUCAAUGUGCCGGGCGAACUGCUCACUCACCUGAGUAAUGGCAGAGCACAGGAAAGCCAUGAAUAAGCAAGCAGAGCAGGCCUGCUCCUGCCCACCUGCUUCUCCACCACGGCUUGCCAACAGCGCGUCAGGUUUCUCAUGAUGCUGCUUGGAAGGCCCCGGGUAGCCAAGGAACUCCAGUCGUGGCUUCUGUUUCUGCCCUCUGUGGAGAUCAAGAAAGUGGCAGAGGCAAGGAGUGGGCAGCCCCUCCACUCCAGUUGCUAUCCAAGGGGGUGCCCUGAGGCCUUUCCUGACAUGCUGCCACCCAAAGUGAUGUUCAUGGAUGGGAGGUGACACAAACCUGGAAGAUGAACAGGCUGAGCCCAUAGGGAGGGGAAGGAUGGGGAUGGAUAGAAGCCUGUGGUGUACACGUGGGGCCCAGGAAAAUGCUCUUGACUAGAGCUCCCCACCUGGAUCCCCACUACUCACUGGGCCGAGGAGUGGCCGCCACAGGAGGGGGUGCCUCGCAGGGCUCGACAUGCACCAGCAGGUGAGUGAGUCGGCGCACCCGCGAGAAGAAAGCUGGGCCGCGGCUCUGGGGGUUGAAGACAGCUUCCUGACACUCCAGGUACUGUUCCAGCAGCCAACCCAGGGGGCUAACGCCAUCCUCAUCUAGAGGGUGAGAAAAAGGCACAGCCAUGUCUGUAGGGAAGUGGGAGAGGUUGGGCUGAACAGCAGUGUAGAGAUAGAGCAACUGGACGAAAUGAUACAAGGGAGGAGCCAGGUAGGGUGGUUUAUACCUGUAAUCCCAGCACUUUGGGAGGUUGAAAUGAGAGGACUACUUGAGGCCAGGAGUUUGAGCCCAGCCUGGUCAACAUAGCAGGACCCCAUCUUUAAAAAUAAUAA